GGUCUUUAGCUCAGUUGGGAGAGCGCCUGCAUGGCAUGCAGGAGGUCGACGGUUCAAGUCC
Molecule: transfer RNA, 61 nt
Filed under: Lacticaseibacillus paracasei subsp. paracasei Lpp43
Lineage: Bacteria; Bacillati; Bacillota; Bacilli; Lactobacillales; Lactobacillaceae
Description: Lactobacillus paracasei subsp. paracasei Lpp43 tRNA-OTHER
Rfam family: tRNA
About the family: Transfer RNA (tRNA) molecules are approximately 80 nucleotides in length. Their secondary structure includes four short double-helical elements and three loops (D, anti-codon, and T loops).
Source: RNAcentral